This 396-nucleotide ribosomal RNA is filed under the name uncultured bacterium. Its description in RNAcentral is "partial 16S ribosomal RNA". It matches the Rfam family "Bacterial small subunit ribosomal RNA", at positions 338 to 732 of the family's 1533-position model. The record is from RNAcentral.
CCUACGGGUGGCAGCAGUGAGGAAUAUUGGUCAAUGGACGAGAGUCUGAACCAGCCAAGUAGCGUGAAGGAUGACUGCCCUAUGGGUUUUAAACUUCUUUUAUAUGGGAAUAAAAUGUUCCACGUGUGGGGUUUUGUAUGUACCAUAUGAAUAAGGAUCGGCUAACUCCGUGCCAGCAGCCGCGGUAAUACGGAGGAUCCGAGCGUUAUCCGGAUUUAUUGGGUUUAAAGGGUGCGCAGGCGGAAGAUAAAGUCAGCGGUAAAAUUGAGGGGCUAAACCUAAUCGUGCCGUUGAAACUGGUUGUCUUGAGUGAGCGAGAGGUAGGCGGAAUGCGUGGUGUAGCGGUGAAAUGCAUAGAUAUCACGCAGAACUCCGAUUGCGAAGGCAGCAUACCGG